Molecule: long non-coding RNA, 361 nt
Filed under: Elaeis guineensis (African oil palm)
Lineage: Eukaryota; Viridiplantae; Streptophyta; Magnoliopsida; Arecales; Arecaceae
Description: long non-coding RNA (EGUI_LNC051994)
Source: RNAcentral
UGUAUGAUACAGUCCCUUUAUCGUGAGUCCCGAUUAGAUGGCAGGUCAUAGAUAAAUCAUCAAAUCUCAUCAUUAGUCAUAUGAUAGAUCCGAUCAGCUCAAGUCCAAUAGUGAUUCUAAAUGAAAACUCUUUUUCUUCAAUCACACUGCUAUGGCCAUAGAUUUAUGGACUCAGCUUCUCAAAUCUCAUAGGACUACUUCUUUCUAUCAAGAUCGAUAGAUCCCAUCUAGAUGCACACGUUGUUCGCACAGCUCAACCAAUAGAAGCCAACAUCCACUACAAAAACUUAUGAUUAAGUCAGUGCUUAUGUGUAGUCAAACUAUAGUAGUCUUACUGUGAGCAAUUAUGAUACCGUAGAUC